UGGGGAAUUUUGCGCAAUGGGGGAAACCCUGACGCAGCAACGCCGCGUGAGUGAUGAAGGCCUUCGGGUCGUAAAGCUCUGUCAGAGGGGAAGAAAUGCAGGGGUGCUAAUAUCAUCUUUGCUUGACGGUACCCUCAAAGGAAGCACCGGCUAACUCCGUGCCAGCAGCCGCGGUAAUACGGAGGGUGCGAGCGUUGUUCGGAAUUAUUGGGCGUAAAGCGCGUGUAGGCGGUUUGGUAAGUCUGAUGUGAAAGCCCCGGGCUCAACCUGGGAAGUGCAAUGGAAACUGUCAGAAUUGGAUACGGGAGAGGGUAGUGGAAUUCCUAGUGCAGGAGUGAAAUCCGUAGAUAUUAGGAGGAACACCGGUGGCGAAGGCGGCUACCUGGACCGAUAUUGACGCUGAGACGCGAAAGCGUGGGGAGCAAACAG
Molecule: ribosomal RNA, 429 nt
Filed under: uncultured bacterium
Lineage: Bacteria
Description: bacterial SSU rRNA
Rfam family: Bacterial small subunit ribosomal RNA
Source: RNAcentral